CACUGUUCAUCGGCUUAUGAACAGUGACGGCUCGAGCCGAGUCGGUUAUGGGUCAAAAGACCGUGUUGUCCCUGCUUCAUCUCUCUUGCCCGACACCUGUGUAUCGUUUCAAAGCUUUCGUGUCUUUGUUCUUCGCUUCACACAGUUUGUGUUUCUCUUGCUUUGACAUCUGGGCUGCUGCUCAGUGCUAUCGUGUCUAUGAUAGCUCACUCGACCGAGAGGUAGAUAGACAGAGAGCUUCAGUUUGAGAGAGAAAUAGCGCGAGAGAGAGCUCCAGACUGUGUUCUAUCUAUCUAGGGACAGAGAGAGAGUUUCAGACUGAAGAAGAGGGAGACGGGAAGAAGUUGAUGGUCGAUUUGAACAGAAAUUGAGUGAACUGAUCAUCCCACGUAUUCUACGAUGGGUUCGAAUUUGUUUGGUUUUCUAUUUUGUUGGUUUCUCAGUGUUUCUAUCAUCAUACAUCACCGUUUUGGGUUUUUCCUGUUCAACAACCGAUCUAGGUAGUUUUCAAUUAACGUGGGUUUGGAUUUUGUGGUUUUCUUUUUAACAAAAGUAAGAGAAGAGUUGGCUUUCUUUUCUUGGUAGGAUUUGGAUGUUCUUCGGUUAUACGGUGGCUUCCUCGAUUUCAUGCGGUUUAGCUUUGUUUCGUAGCCUGGGUUUUAAAUUUUCAAUGGUCUGACUGUUUCUCUUUCUUGCUUUGUUUCUUUUUGUUUUGUAUACAGUGCUUUGCAUUUUGAGAAUGUCGAGUUUAUGACGAGAAGAUGAGGUUUUGGUGAUGGAGGAGUUUUUGGGUUGUUGGCUUAACUUCGAGGCUGCGGUGUGUUCAGAAAGGCAGGGGAGCUGCUGUUUCUGAUCUUUGAGUUGGGUUUUGAUGAGGAAGCAGAACAUGAAUUUGGUGGUUUGACGUUGUUCUGCAUCUGCUUGGGAAGAGUUCGUCUUUGAGUUUUGGAUAAUAGGAUUUCGAAUAGUGACAAGCAGAGAGGAUAUUUAGUUUUUGGGGUUGCUGCUGGGUUCUGAAGACAAGUGGCUCAAACGUAUUGUAGGUUUUAAUGUCGGACGUUAAACUAAUAGCCGAAACAUUCGGAUUUUAAAAUUAAAGCAAAGUUGAACCCUUUAUUGUUAGGUUUUAAUGGAAACUCACGCCCUUUGAGGUGCAUAUCAGACAAAAGCAAUUUGAUCACAAUCAUAAAAGCAAAGUUAAUCUACAUCUACCAUUCACUCCAAAAUUGCUGCAACUAAAAAGUAGUAAUGCCCUUGGUUUUAAUUUCUUUUUAGUUUAGGGGCUGUUCCUUUUUUGUGUUCUAUAGAGAUUAGAGACCUGAUAUUCUUAUUUGUUAGCCUUUGUCUUUUGUUAGUUCUGUUUCUGUUGAACCUUUUUUAUCUGUUGUGGAAAUUGCAGUGCAGCUGUUUCAUGAUGCAUGGAAAUUUGGUUUUGAAACUGAAAGUUCAGUUUUUUCUGUUUUUGUUUUUAUGCAAAAACCUUUCUAUUGUUGCAGCCAUAAGCAUUAGAGGUAUUCUCGAGCAAGAAAUAGUAAAGGUUGCAGCUAUGAUCCUCCAUAUGACCUUAAACAGGGCUUACUGAAGAUGUUAUUUGAGGAGAUGAAUUCUUGGUUUCAGACUUGGCAUCUCAUUACUCAUUUGCAAACUCCUAGCAAGCACAAAAAGUUUUAUCUUUCUCAGGCAAGU
Rosa rugosa (rugosa rose) is the source of this 1686-nucleotide long non-coding RNA. RefSeq lists it as uncharacterized. The record is from RefSeq and is a predicted model, not a curated record. The transcript has 5 exons. Lineage: Eukaryota; Viridiplantae; Streptophyta; Magnoliopsida; Rosales; Rosaceae.